GGUUUUCUUGGCAAAGACACUGGAAUGGGUUGUCAUUUCCUUUUCUACUUCAUUUUACAGAUGUGGAAACCAAGGCAAACUGAGUUAAGUGACUUCUCCAGGGUCACACAACUGAGCUCCAAGUGGAAU
Molecule: long non-coding RNA, 129 nt
Filed under: Monodelphis domestica (gray short-tailed opossum)
Lineage: Eukaryota; Metazoa; Chordata; Mammalia; Didelphimorphia; Didelphidae
Description: lncRNA (ENSMODG00000035886.2)
Source: RNAcentral